Gossypium arboreum is the source of this 716-nucleotide long non-coding RNA. RefSeq lists it as uncharacterized. The record is from RefSeq and is a predicted model, not a curated record. NCBI's taxonomy places the organism in Eukaryota, Viridiplantae, Streptophyta, Magnoliopsida, Malvales, Malvaceae. The transcript has 2 exons.
CUCCAUUUCAUAAAAAAAAAACUAACCCCUUCUCUCAAACUCUCUCAAGGCCUUCUCCCUCCGGCCAAACUUCGGCUAUGUCCACCGCCGUCCUCCGCCGCCGGCCACCGUUGCCGGCCACCGCGCACGGUGGCCGAAAAUUUCAAAAAGGUGAAUGGCGGUGGAGAAAGUGGCCGAUGUGAUGGAGGUAGGUGGUGUCAGAAGGUGGUUGGCCGAAAGCCAAGCAUAGGGGUGGUGGUUAGGGUUUUUCUUAGGUUUCUUUUUUCUGAUUUUUUUAUAUUAAGCUGUUAAUUUUGGGCUUGGGGUAUUUAGGUUUUGUUGGGUAAAAAAAUUUUUAAGUUGGGCCAAAAUUGGGCCUCAACAUUAACGCCUUACCAUUAAACCAAUAAGCUCAUUCUGAUUAAUUCUUAGUAGAACUUAUUUUUAAGACUUUUUAAUUUUCUUACCCUAUACUUUAAAAAAAAAUACUAAAUUUUUAUCCUUAUUUCUUCUAACUCUAUUUUUGGGAUGUGACAACAGAAGCCCUACUCGCUUAAGCUUCUCCGAUUUUGAUCUUUUCGUCCUCUGCUGUUUGCAGUGAUCGUUGGUAGCUUGGGUGGCUAGGGUUUAUUUUUCCUUUAGGAUGGGAUUAGGCUUGGUUAAGCCCUUGUACUUUAUGUUUGUUUGUUUUUUUUUAAGUUGAUGGACCCAUUUGCUUGUACUCUUUUAUGAUACAA